RNAcentral lists this transfer RNA (71 nucleotides) under Candidatus Nanobsidianus stetteri. RNAcentral describes it as "Candidatus Nanopusillus sp. Nst1 tRNA". It matches the Rfam family "tRNA". Rfam says of the family: Transfer RNA (tRNA) molecules are approximately 80 nucleotides in length. Their secondary structure includes four short double-helical elements and three loops (D, anti-codon, and T loops). RNAcentral also lists the same sequence under 2 other names. Lineage: Archaea; Nanobdellati; Nanobdellota; Candidatus Nanoarchaeia; Nanoarchaeales; Nanopusillaceae. The record is from Rfam by way of RNAcentral.
GCACCCGUCGUCUAGUGGCAGGAUGCGGGCCUUCCAAGCCCGCGGCCCGGGUUCAAAUCCCGGCGGGUGCA